CUGCUGCCUCCCGUAGGAGUCUGGUCCGUGUCUCAGUACCAGUGUGGGGGACCUUCCUCUCAGAACCCCUAGACAUCGUCGCCUUGGUGGGCCGUUGCCCCGCCAACUAGCUAAUGUCACGCAUGCCCAUCCGUUGCCGGAAUCGCUCCCUUUGGCCGCAGGGCCAUGCAGCCCCGCGGCGUUACGCGGUAUUAGACGGGAUUUCUCCCGAUUAUCCCCCUGCCAACGGGCAGGUCGCAUACGCGUUACUCACCCGUGCCG
RNAcentral lists this ribosomal RNA (261 nucleotides) under uncultured bacterium. Its description in RNAcentral is "partial 16S ribosomal RNA". The record is from RNAcentral.